CGGGGGGAGCAAGCGUUGUUCGGAUUUACUGGGGCGUAAAGGGCGCGUAGGCGGCCACCGCAAGUCGACUGUGAAAUCUCUGGGCUUAACCCAGAACGGUCAGCCGAUACUGCGGGGCUAGAGUGCAGAAGGGGCAACUGGAAUUCUCGGUGUAGCGGUGAAAUGCGUAGAUAUCGAGAGGAACACCUGCGGCGAAGGCGGGUUGCUGGGCUGACACUGACGCUGAGGCGCGAAAGCUAGGGGAGCGAACGGGAUUAGAUACCCCGGUAGUCCUAGCCUUAAACGAUGAAUGCUUGGUGUCUGGGGUUUUAUAGUCCCCGGGUGCCGUCGCUAACGCUUUAAGCAUUCCGCCUGGGGAGUACGGUCGCAAGACUG
This 375-nucleotide ribosomal RNA is filed under the name uncultured organism. Its description in RNAcentral is "bacterial SSU rRNA". It matches the Rfam family "Bacterial small subunit ribosomal RNA", at positions 526 to 896 of the family's 1533-position model. The record is from RNAcentral.